GGGGUGAUGGCGCAGCUGGGAGCGCGUUAGACUGAAGAAUCAACUUCAGUUCGUCUACUUCGAGUAGGGUUAUCUAAAGGUCACCGGUUCGAUCCCGGUUCAUCCCA
Non-coding RNA from Aspergillus taichungensis, 107 nucleotides. The record is from the annotation of a GenBank genome assembly. Lineage: Eukaryota; Fungi; Ascomycota; Eurotiomycetes; Eurotiales; Aspergillaceae.